CUGGCUCAGAACGAACGCUGGCGGCAUGCCUAACACAUGCAAGUCGAACGAAGCCUUCGGGCUUAGUGGCGCACGGGUGAGUAACACGUGGGAACCUGCCUUUCGGUUCGGAAUAACGUUUGGAAACGAACGCUAACACCGGAUACGCCCUUUGGGGGAAAGUUUACGCCGAGAGAGGAGCCCGCGUCCGAUUAGGUAGUUGGUGAGGUAACGGCUCACCAAGCCGACGAUCCGUAGCUGGUCUGAGAGGAUGAUCAGCCACACUGGGACUGAGACACGGCCCAGACUCCUACGGGAGGCAGCAGUGGGGAAUAUUGGACAAUGGGCGCAAGCCUGAUCCAGCAAUGCCGCGUGAGUGAUGAAGGCCUUAGGGUUGUAAAGCUCUUUCGCACGUGACGAUGAUGACGGUAACGUGAGAAGAAGCCCCGGCUAACUUCGUGCCAGCAGCCGCGGUAAU
This 457-nucleotide ribosomal RNA is filed under the name uncultured Azospirillum sp. Its description in RNAcentral is "bacterial SSU rRNA". It matches the Rfam family "Bacterial small subunit ribosomal RNA", at positions 19 to 524 of the family's 1533-position model. The record is from RNAcentral. Lineage: Bacteria; Pseudomonadati; Pseudomonadota; Alphaproteobacteria; Rhodospirillales; Azospirillaceae.